CCAGCAGCCGCGGUAAUUCCAGCUCCAAUAGCGUAUAUUAAAGUUGUUGCAGUUAAAAAGCUCGUAGUUGAAGUUUUGGUGGUUGCCACGACCCUUUUUGGUGCUUUUGUCGACCGCCAUUGUUGAGUUGAUAAUGUCUGGCAUUAGGUUGUAGGUUGUUGGACACUGGAGACUCAUCGUUUACUGUGAGAAAAGUAGAGUGUUCCAAACAGGUGUAUGCCGUUGGAUAUAUUAGCAUGGAAUAAUGUAACAGGAUUCUGGUACUAUUUUGUUGGUUUGCGCACCAGAGUAAUGAUUAACAGGGAUGGUUGGGGGUAUUCGUAUUCCAUUGUCAGAGGUGAAAUUCUUGGAUUUCUGGAAGACGAACUACUGCAAAAGCAUUUACCAA
RNAcentral lists this ribosomal RNA (388 nucleotides) under uncultured eukaryote. RNAcentral's name for it is "SSU rRNA". It matches the Rfam family "Eukaryotic small subunit ribosomal RNA", at positions 567 to 961 of the family's 1831-position model. The record is from RNAcentral.